AGACCCUGAGGUGGGGCUUCGCUUCACUGAGGCUUUCCAGCAGAGGACACCAACCUCGCUGAUGAUGGGUUUUAGAGCAGGAUCGUUGCUGGCUGGUCCCAGUGCAGAAGUUGUAGCUGACCUGUUACAGGUGACAGCUGAAGAAAUGGACUGAUGAUGGCAAGCUCAGAAAGCUGGACAAAGGGAAAAGCAAAUCCCUGUGCCAUGGGUGGGACAGGAUGGAUGUAGAGAAUGAUGUGUGGGCAAGGAGUACCAGCAGAUGGGCUCUCCUGGGAGGCUCAAGCUGAGAGGGCAUGGACACACAGCUUGGAAAGGGGAUGCUGCUUUGAGGCAAAAAAAGCACAUUUGGUCCUUUGGACGGUGGACUGAACCAGGAACCAGGUUGCCCAGAGAGGCCAUGGAAUCUCCAUCCUGGACUGUUCUGCUCCUGCUAGCCCUGUGUGUGGGGUGGGCUGGAGCCUGCCUGAAGUCCAGGUUGACCCACUCCACUGCCGCCUGAAGUACAAACAGAGCUCGCCAUGGCACCACUUCUUAUUUCCACUAUUUUUGUCCUCUGGGAGUUUUUCUUCCCCAGAAUUUAUCUCUUGAAAUAAAGUAGCUUAUAAUAUUUUCCAUUCACAAGCCUUUAACUUGGUGAUGCUUUCCUCGAGUAUAAAAGCAGUGGGAGAAUUGUAUUUUUAAAGCAAUCCCCACUUGAGUUACGGAUGACAUGCUUGCACGCUUGUGAAAUGCGUUUGCUCAGAGUUCCUUUGUUUGCUGCUGCCAGCCUUGUGGUGAUCCUGUGCCCAUGUGGCUUCCUGGUGGCUUCCCAGAGGCUCCCUCGGGCACGCACAACAUUGACUUCCAUGAAGUUCACCACAGGACUGAAGUGAGAAUAAUUUUGCAGUCUGAGAGAUGGAUUCCUGCCUGUCAGAAAGGCCAUCCCAGCAUCCAGGGUGCAUCCUCUGUGUUAAUCUACAGGUCCCCAGUAAGAAAUACUUCUGCAGAGAAGACAGAGGGGAAAACAUGAACAAUGGCCUUCUCCUGCCCUAAUUGCAAGUACAGCAGGCAUGUCAAGUGUGAAUUUGAGAGACAAAGGUAAGGACUGCUUUGUAAACAGGAACAGAGCUGCUGAAACAGAAGGACAAUAGCUAAGGACCAACCUGUAGCUAAAUCUACCUCCAAGAAACCUUAUUUGAGGAAGUAGGUAUAAUUCUAGAUCAAUGUAUCUUUGUUUUAUCUCCUGUUGGAUGCCCUUGCUGCCUUUUAUAUGAAGUUUGAUUGCAUAAAUGGGUGUCAUGUUUUGUAAAUACUUCCAGGUGUGGGAAGAAUAGGUGGGGGAAUGGCUGAUGUCUGGAUGUCACUUGGAUGGCAUGAAAAAGGAGCUGCUGGUUCUCUGAGCUGCUGCUGGACCUGACCAGAGCAAGGGUCUUUAGGGCCAUGAGAAGGUAUUAAAAUCUCACUGGGCUUCCCUGUCCACAGAGUGUUUAGUCUCCAGUUGCAGAGGAACCAUCACAUUUUCAAACACCACGUGUUUGGGUUUGGGGGGCAUCUUUCCUACCCAUUUAGUGAAUAUAGCCACUCUUCUUUAUUGACAUUAUGGAGUGAAAAGUGACUGCUCCACCAGCCAAAAUAAAUUAAACCUGCCUUGUUAGGAUGGCUGCCUCUGAGCAUUAAAAGUGUGAAACACACUCUGGGCAGCAAGUCAUUAAAUAUACAGGGAAAAGGUACAGAGGUUAAAGAAUACUCAGAUAAGUUAGAUAUAUGCAAGUCAGCAGGGCCUCAUGAAAUUCACCCUGGAGUACUGCAGGUACUGGCUGAGGUGAUCUCUGAGCUAUUAGCAAUUAUCUCUGAGAGCUUGUGGAGGAUGAGUGAGGUCCCAGCAGAUGGGAGAAAGGCAAACACAGAACCUAUCUUUGAAAAGGGGAAAUGGAAAGACCCAGGGAAUCACAGGCCAGUCAGCCUGGCUUUGAUACUGAGAAAAAUGCAGGAGCAAAUUAUUGAACAAUCAAUAUGUAAACACCUAGAGGAAAAUAAGGUGAAAAGAAACAGCCUGCUUGGGUUUGUCAAGAACAAAUCACAUCAAAGCAAUCUCAUUUCCUUCUUUGACAGAGUAACUGGCCCAGUGGAUAAGGAGGAAGAAGCAGAUGUGAUAGAUCUUGACUUUAGCGAGGCUUUUGACACACAUCCACAUGACAUUUUCAUAAGUAAACAGGAGAAAUAUGGUUUAGAUGAAGUUAUUAUGUGAUGGGCACAAAACUGAAAAAUUUGGCUUAUUAGUAAAGCAGUUAUCAAUGGUUUGUUGUCAGACUGGGAAAACAUAUCAAAUAAGAUACCACAGGGGACUGUCUUAGGUCCAGCAUUAUUCAAUAUUUUCAGCUUUGAUGAUGGAAUAUGUUGAAAACUUCAAAAAAUUACAUAUGAUACUGAACUAGGAGGGGUUACAAACAGAACAGGAUUUGAAUACAAAAUGGGCUUGAUAAAUUGAAGAAAGUGUCUGAAAUCAAUAGGAUGAAAUUCAAUAAAGGAAGACAAGUGCAAUGUAUUACUUUUGGGGAAGGAAAAAUCAAAUGCACAAGUAUUAAAUGGGAAACAACUAGUUUGAGAGCAGUUUUCAUAAAAGAGGCUUAGCACAGAGCACAAGCAAAAUGAAAUCUAAAAAUGUGAAGAUGUGUGAAGAGUAAAUUCCACGAUUGUAUGAAUUAAUAGCAAUAUUGUGAAUAACUGGGAAAUAAUUAUCUAGUUCUGCCCUGAGUGGUGGAGUCUGACCCAGGAAUAUUACAUCUGUGUCCAACAGUAAUGGCACAUUUUGAAAAUCAUUCUCCUUUAGAUGGAGAAAGAACAAAGCCUAGGAAACAAUUUCUGUGAGGAAAAGCUGAUUUUACUGAGUAUGGGCUUUUUUCUAAGGAAAAAGUGUAAUGCAUCUACAGUAUGCAAAAUAUUAUUAAAAAUCUUGUAAAGAAAAGGACACUUGCCUGCUUUCCCUUUUUAAAAUGGUAUAAAAAAGAAAAAGAAAAAAAAAAGAUGGAAUAAGCUAAAGCAGAUAGAUAGAGAGAUGUUCUGUCUAUGGGGAUGAUACUGCACUGGAGCAGGGUUUCUGAGGAUAUUCUGGAAUCCUUGUUUCAAGUCCUGAAAAUGGGUCAGACAGACAUCUGUCUGUGAUGUGAAACAGAUGUCCUCUGGAGGGUACUCCUACUUUUACAUUUCUACAGUAAUUCAUACUCCUCAGUCAAGAGAAAAGCUCACAUGAACAAGAUAAGCAAGAAUUAAAUGCAUGGUUAUAAAUUUCCUCCCAGACUCCCACUUUUCCACUGCAAACUUCUUUUUUUGGAUUUAUGUACAUUUAUCACACAGUUCUCUGUUCUCCUUUUCACCUGUCUUUGCCUUAAAACAGAGGGAAGAGUUGAUAGUCAUUCCAUAAUUAUAUGAAAGAUUAUGAAGCUAGACAGGGCUACCUUCUAUCCAAACAUGAAAUCAUGCAUGUUCAUUCUCCUGGACUGGUUGCUGGUGCAAAAUCAAGACCAAAAGACUUUAAACCCCCCCCCCCCCCAAAACCCCAAACCUUUUUGAUAUUAUCUGCUGUAAGCUGCUUUAAGAAACGCUUUGCUCUUUUCCUCUUUUUGUUUUUGAUGAAGAUACGCAGUCAGAGAAUGAAGCUUUAUAAACAUACAUUCACCCUUUAAAUGAUAGACAUGGGACAAACUGGGUGGUACUUUUAUGAUGUCUUAUUGGCAUGAUUUUGAACUGGUGUGUUAUUUUGCGGCAUCCUAGACAGAAUGCUGCAAACCCUCUGCAUCUUGUUUCUGUGUGAGCCAUGUGCAUCCUGAAACAUAGACUUGAAAUACCUAGUGAGAAGUAAGAUCUUCAUUCAGGGCUGUAGGGCCAGAAAUCUUAGUCAUCAAGUGUUGUUUUGUGUGAAGGCUAUGAGAAGAAAGAGCCAUUAAAUGGCUGAUCUAAACUAACAUAUGUAACUGCAGAAUUUGCACUCUGCAUUGUGGGGGAUGCUACACUCAAGGAGAAGAAUGUCUCUUCUCCUUGAUGUGCUUGGCUUUGUGAUGAUACCUGCACAAAACAAAUUUGUGAAACCCUUCUUAAACGGCUACAAGGCUGUGAUCACCAGUAAAGAAGUGCUUGCCUGACUGUGAAACUUGUAUUCCUUCCUUUGUAUCUCUGUGAAACCUUUCCAGUUGCAGGAGCCAGGGGUGUUGUAUUUUUUUAGAUGUUUGUGGGAUUAAUGUACUUGUUCCCAAAUUCGGGACCUAGACUUUCUCCCAAAUGUGGAGGUUUAGGAGCAGAAAUGUACGUAUUUAGGGAAGGGAUAUUUAUUUGCCAGGUGAGCUGGCCUGUGGGUAACUGUGUUUGAGUAAGAUCAGCUCUCAGGUCCCUGGGAGGAGUUUGUUCAGGUAGUGUGGGAAGUGUUCCCAAUCAUCCAGAAGGAGCCAGAUCAGCUGGAGCCAGGAUCAUGCAGGAUGCUAAGGCUGCAUCCAUGUGAUGCUGUGCUUCAUGGCUAUAGACAUCCGUGCCAAGGUCAAAAGUGUUACCAACCUUCCUUUCCUCUGUUUUGUUCUGGCUCAUGCUUUUAACCUCCAUGUUUUAGUUAUACCUGUUUUUAAAGUCUCAUAUUACCAUUUGCAACUGAGUAUUUGUCAAAACUGAGCCACCCAGGAUCUACUAAAGUGCCAGCAAUAUUUUAUACACAACUGAAGCCUCGCUAAAAGACUAUAUUGAGACUUUACUGACGCUGUGAAGAAAAAUAAACUCAUAGUUAGUGACCCUUGUAGUAUGGUUGAACUGAUAGGAAGAUGCACCACUACUUACAUUUAUGGUGAGAUCUACAGUACAUAACUUUUAAGAGGGAAUUUUGUAGCAGAAGGUUUUGGGAGGUCACUGGUAAUACUGUCAUUAACUUGCCAGUGAGAAGAUAGAACCAUAUUUAGAGCCACUUUUACCCCUGUUUUCUGUAAUAUAAUAGUUUUUGAGCUUUCAUUAGCUACCACAAAUGAAAGAUUUGUGGUAGUAUGGAACGGAGUGGGUUCUUCUUACCACUUGCAAAAGGUCUUAUUAAACAUAAAGUAAAAUAAAGCUUCCUGGGUCUAAAUAUAGGCGGGACUAAAUUGGCAGAUCUCAGUAAGCAUGAUUGCUUAGUAAUGGAGAUAAUGCUGAGUGAGCUUUAUAGAAGGGGAAAAAAACAUAAAUAAAAAUAUUUUUUUGUCUGAAAUGCUGCCAAAAGUUAAUGCAUCUUUUCCUUUCAAUGAAACAACAUUGUCCUUGUUUUCCAUCUCAACCAGCUUGAGACAUUUUCCCCAGUCUGAAAUAUAUCCACAGCCUGUUCCACACUAAAAUUAUCAACCAUACAAGUUGUGUCAUGACAGUCAGAGAAAAAAAACAGUCUAAGACAAGAUCAAUUCCUGACCAUAUUUCUAUUUUUAUAUUUUUUUAAGAAUUAAUGCUGUAUUCACAGAAUAACUCAUCUAGGGAGGAGUAACCUCUAGGCAACCAGCUGGUCAGGCAGCAUAGAGGACACCCAUCACAGACAUUUAGCGUCUUUAAUUGUAGGGGUGAUGCUGGUUAAGAGGAAAGACCUGUUCUUAUCUACAGGAGGGUUUAAAUCCAUUUUUGAAGCCUCUAAAAGGAUCUUGCUGAAACUGAAUCUUUGCUUGAAUUUCUCACCCAGGUCCCCUCAGCUCAAGCCUUCAGGCUGAGCUCUGUGUUGUGCCAGAGGGAAGCACUUUGGAGGGGAUGGGUAAGCACAGCCACCCUUCAGCUGGGACUCAGUGUGGCUCUGCCCGUUUCCAGUGACUCUCUGAUCUCAGUCCUCAAGCCCUGAGUGGAGAGAUGGUGUCUUCUGCAGAUUUCUGUCUGUGCCAAAUUACUGCAACUCAAAAAAACAAGAGGGGACAUGCAUGCAGAUGUUGCAAGGUCAUGCAUGGAAAAAAGACAACACCGAUGGGUAGAAACUCAAAUUGUUGCUUGCUUACCAGCAUUACCUAAUUUGAUUAUAUUCACUGAAUUAUCUGUAGCAGCAGACUUUGUGGAGAGGUAUGGCCCACCUGUGAUACAUAUAUAAAUAUAUACAUGUAUAUAUUUAUACAUUAUCAUGGUGAUAAAUUUUAAUGAGAGCAUCAUCACAACCAGCUGGUGUUGUUUGAAACAAAUUGCAUUAAUAAUGUGUCUGAAUUUUCAGCAUAAGACCAAAUAAUGAGAGUUGUAAAGCUGCAACAUAAUGCGGAGUCAACAGUUUAGUGGGCAGGCACUCCCACCUUAGGCAAGGCUCUGAAUCUGCCUUCUUCUGUGGGAUGAAGUUUAACCCUCCCUCCUCCACACCCCGCUGGGAUGUCACAGGGGUGCAGCCUCCUGGCACCAAGGAGAAAUGCUGAGAUAUCUGACAAGUGAGGCCUGAAUUAACACUUCAGGUAGCACGCUUAUUUUGGGGACAGCAGGCUGGCAGCUCCCUGCUAUGUGAUAUUUCUGUUCUCUGUCUCCCUGCUUUGGAGAGCUCUGGGUCCUGCUUGUGCCACCCUACGCUGCGUGGUGGAACUCACAGCACUCCUCUCCUCCUUCUGCUGGCCUGCGGUGGUGGAGGGGCAAAGGCAGGAUGUGUUUUCAAUGUGCAGCCUCAAUCAAGGUCCUAGAGGUCCAGUGAGGCACUUGGACAAGGAUCUGCACCUUGCUGGCAGUGCUGUUCCCAUGGUGGAAAGGCUCCAUUCCUGGUGAUGUGGAGCAUGGGGACCUUAAUGUGGGACUAGAAUGCAACAACACCCCUGUGCUGCACACCUCUCACCCAAUGUUGGAGCAAAACUCCACCAGGAUGGAGGGAUUUCACCACUCUUCUUGUUAAAUAUUCUCAGUACAUGUGUUUAAGGUGUGCUAGAACGUCGUCCUCGCUUCUCUAUGACUUCUGGCUGAAGAUAAGCAUGAGAACUUUGGUGAUCCCUUUCUGUUUGUUUGAGGGUAAGCUGCUCUCUUUACCAGCCCCACUUUCUGCCUGGCUACCCAGAUCCCACCAGGAAGACAUGAUAAAAGGCAAAUGUGUGUCUCAGGGUGUGCACAGACACAGAGAUGCCCACGCCUGGGACUCUUGGUAAAUACUUUAAGUGUAGAGUUUCUCUAUCAAUAUUCUAUUCUCCAUAAUUUAUGUCUUUUACUCAGUCACUCUUGUAUGUCUUGACACUUGUCACUUGACAUUGUGAAUGUUUUCUUUACUUUUUAGAUCAUCAUAAAUUAA
This is a long non-coding RNA of Haemorhous mexicanus (house finch), 7204 nucleotides long. RefSeq lists it as uncharacterized. Lineage: Eukaryota; Metazoa; Chordata; Aves; Passeriformes; Fringillidae. The transcript has 3 exons. The record is from RefSeq and is a predicted model, not a curated record.